AUACUACGUAUCAACAUGAUUUAGUGCGACCGGAAUGCAUGGAACUGUAAUGUCAUUUUGUCAUAUACGAGUCUUGAAGGAUGCCAUUUGUACAUGAAGUAUAAGCACCAUCAUACUAAUUCGUGCCCCUUCCCGAUCAGUUUGGAACUGAUUCCUCUCACAUGGUCAGUGGGCCCAUGUCCGUGGAAGUUAAAUCGGAGGAGGCGAGGCCAAUCCUUUUAGUUCACCACCACUAGGAGCAGGCCAGAGCAAUAUAAAGUGGAGGGGAAACAGCAGCCCGUUAGAUAGGAACGUAUGGAGAGUGCAUAUGGAGCUGAAAUGGUGAACAAGAAAAAAAAAGUAAUGUAUAAAUCACUAUAUAGGAAUGUAAGGCUGUAGGAAAUAGGCUAAUACAUGAAUAUCUCCAUCCACUGACAUCCUUUAACAUAGAAAUAUCUUAGUGGACGGUGAGGAGACAGAGGACGUGGGGUCAGUCGGACCAAGAUGUAUAACUGGCUGCGAGAAGAUUCACGCCCUGCGCAACAGGAGAAUGGAUAGUUUAAGAUCCAUUCACGCCUUGCGCAGCAGUAUGUUGGCACUCAGUAAUCUGCGUUGUUUAAGAUCCACCUUUCAGAUUUUCAUUUGUGCAUAACUACUUCUGGAAGAAUUUCUGUCGGUUGUGGCUUUUCAUCAUGAUGGUGGCUGGUGAUGUAGUGAGUCAAAAGAGGGAUGAUGCCAUUGGAUUUUUUUUCUGUUAAAAACAAUACAAGAUCGAUUUAGGAUUUUGGAAAAUCCAACAAUAAUGAAAGGUUACAAAGAAUAAAACAAGGCUCAGCAAAGACAACAUUGAUGGAUAAAAAGUCGAAUUGUGAAGAUCGACAAAUAGCUUUCUAUCCAAAAAAAGGUUCUGCAAUCUUUCUCAACAAUAUACAUGGCUAACCAUAUACAGCUGUCUAGCAUCAAGAUUUCGGUGACAUCUGUAUAUGUAUGUCUGCCUUUUAUAUAUGAUAACAGACAGUGCUUCCCCAAGUAGUGUUUUUGGAGGGCUUGUAUCCAACCGUCAAAAUGUUAAGCCAUAUCUAGUUUUACAAUGUCAGAUGUGUUUUAGUUCAACAUUUGGAACAUCACAUUGGUAUUAACCUUUUUGACGUAGUGAUUAUACAUUUAGUACGUACAAGCACCAUCGUACUUCAUUCAUCGGUCCUUUACUGGUGGAGUAAUGAUUAUACAUUUAUUAGUACAAGCACCAUCCUACUUCAUGUCCCUGUCCUUUAGUUCACCACCACACCAGGUGAAGCAAGAGCAAUAUAAAGUGGAGGAGACGGAGCAGCCCUUUAGUCCGUCACCACUAACCACCCAAAGAGCAACAACAUACAACAUGCCGGAGAAAGAGAGGGUAAGGUGCAGAUACGUACGAAGAGGGAGAGGGGCAGAGGCAUGAAUAAAUCACCGUAUAGCUAGCUUGGAAUGAAAGGUUACAGGAAUUAGGCUAAUAUGCAUUGUUUCCAAUCUACUCACAUCUUUUUGCAUACUAGCUAGCAGGGUGAAGAUGCAUUCCUUGGGUUGGGCAAUAAGGGAGUGGAUAGUCCAUAGCUACUAGCCACCACCAUCCUUCAAGUUGAGACGGGAGGACGUACUGUCACGUAGUUGAGUUCAAGCUGACCCCAAAGACAAAAUAUAACAGAGAAGAAGAGGUCCAAACUGACAAGCUAGUGUACUGCAAGCUACACAUUUAUGGAUAGAUUUCAUUCAAGCUAAUCAUGUACUGCAAGCUAGUGUGGGGCAAUUGUAAAUGUCCUAUGAUAUUUUUGUUCCAAGUUUUUAUGUUUUAUUACAUUGUCU
This 1821-nucleotide long non-coding RNA is filed under the name Setaria italica (foxtail millet). RNAcentral describes it as "long non-coding RNA (SITA_LNC000994)". Lineage: Eukaryota; Viridiplantae; Streptophyta; Magnoliopsida; Poales; Poaceae. The record is from RNAcentral.